RNAcentral lists this ribosomal RNA (393 nucleotides) under uncultured bacterium. RNAcentral's name for it is "partial 16S ribosomal RNA". It matches the Rfam family "Bacterial small subunit ribosomal RNA", at positions 523 to 918 of the family's 1533-position model. The record is from RNAcentral.
AUACGGAGGAUGCAAGCGUUAUCCGGAUUUAUUGGGUUUAAAGGGUGCGUAGGCGGUUUGCUAAGCGGGAGGUGAAAUGCCGGCGCUCAACGUCGGAAGUGCCUCCCGAACUGGUGGACUGGAAUUACUCUGCCGUGGGAGGAAUGUGUAGUGUAGCGGUGAAAUGCUUAGAGAUUACACAGAACCCCGAUUGCGAAGGCAUCUCACGAAGGGUUGAUUGACGCUGAGGCACGAAAGCGUGGGGAUCAAACAGGAUUAGAUACCCUGGUAGUCCACGCAGUAAACGAUGAUGGCUAACCGCUGGUUUAUUCGGAUCAGUGGCCAAGCGAAAGCGAUAAGCCAUCCACCUGGGGAGUACGACCGCAAGGUUGAAACUCAAAGGAAUUGACGGGG